ACAAAUUGUCUGCAGUGAUAUCCUUCCUAGAUUUGGCUUGCUCAUCACACUGGUAGACUUUAGAAUGUCACUUUCUACAAUUAAUUAAGGUUAUACUACAAAUGAGAGAGAAUUAAUGUUCAGUUUUGUCAUACUGAAAUAGCCAAUGUGUACAUGGGUGUGGUCUUUGGUGGUUUAUAUUCUUGAUUUGCUGUUUCGUCUUCCCUUUGUAACAUUGUGCAGUUAAUUUUCAACCCAUGAGUGAGAGCAACUGGAUAUUUGAAUUCCACUGAAAUAACAAAUUGUCUGCAGAUUUGAUUUGCUCAGCACACUGGCAGACUUUAGAACGCCACCUUCUACAAUUAAUUAAGAUUGUCCCACAAAUGACGAGGGAUUGUAGUUAAUUUUGAUGCUACUGAAGCAACCGAUGCUUUUGAUGUCUUCACCUUGCAACAUUAUGCAGUUAACUUUAGCCAUAACAACGGGAGGCAGUUGGAAAUUAAUUAAUUUGGAAGCGACUGGAACAACAAAUUGUUUGCAAUGAUCCCUCCUAGAUUUGGCUUGUUCAUCACACUGGUAGACUUUAGAACGCCACUUUCUACAAUUAAUUAAAGUUAUACAACAAAUGAGAGAGAAUUAAUGUUCAGUUUUGUCAUACUGAAAUAGCCAAUGUGUACGUGGGUGUGGUCUUUCGUGGUUUAUAUUCUUGAUUUGCUGUUUCGUCUUCACCUUGUAACAUCAUGCAGUUAAUUUUCAACCCAUGAGUGAGAGCAACUGGAUAUUUAUUUGAAUUCCACUGAAAUAACAAUUUCUCUGCUACGGUGUUCCUCCUGGAGUUAGUUUGCUUUUCACACCUGUAAACUAACUUUGGAACGUUACGUUCUACAUUUAAUUAAGGUGAGAAUACUUGAUAUAAUUAAUUUUAAUCGCUUUUUAUUAAUCUGUUUGCCACCGUAUCUG
Molecule: long non-coding RNA, 939 nt
Organism: Agrilus planipennis (emerald ash borer)
Lineage: Eukaryota; Metazoa; Arthropoda; Insecta; Coleoptera; Buprestidae
Exons: 4
Source: RefSeq, a predicted model, not a curated record